GUGGGGAAUAUUGGACAAUGGGCGAAAGCCUGAUCCAGCCAUGCCGCGUGUGUGAAGAAGGUCUUCGGAUUGUAAAGCACUUUAAGUUGGGAGGAAGGGCAGUAAGUUAAUACCUUGCUGUUUUGACGUUACCGACAGAAUAAGCACCGGCUAACUUCGUGCCAGCAGCCGCGGUAAUACGAAGGGUGCAAGCGUUAAUCGGAAUUACUGGGCGUAAAGCGCGCGUAGGUGGUUUUGUAAGUUGGAGGUGAAAUCCCCGGGCUCAACCUGGGAACUGCCUCCAAAAGUGCAUGACUAGAGUACGGUAGAGGGUAGUGGAAUUUCCUGUGUAGCGGUGAAAUGCGUAGAUAUAGGAAGGAACACCAGUGGCGAAGGCGACUACCUGGACUGAUACUGACACUGAGGUGCGAAAGCGUGGGGAGCAAACAGGAUUAGAAACCCCUGUAGUCC
This 450-nucleotide ribosomal RNA is filed under the name uncultured bacterium. RNAcentral's name for it is "bacterial SSU rRNA". It matches the Rfam family "Bacterial small subunit ribosomal RNA", at positions 354 to 796 of the family's 1533-position model. The record is from RNAcentral.